ACGGAGGGUGCAAGCGUUGUCCGGAAUCACUGGGCGUAAAGGGCGCGUAGGCGGCUCGGUAAGUAGGGGGUGAAAUCCUGCGGCUUAACCGCAGGGCUGCCUUCUAAACUGUCGAGCUUGAGCACGGUAGAGGCAGAUGGAAUUCCCGGUGUAGCGGUGGAAUGCGUAGAGAUCGGGAAGAACAUCAGUGGCGAAGGCGGUCUGCUGGGCCGUUGCUGACGCUGAGGCGCGACAGCGUGGGGAGCAAACAGGA
This 253-nucleotide ribosomal RNA is filed under the name uncultured prokaryote. RNAcentral describes it as "partial 16S ribosomal RNA". It matches the Rfam family "Bacterial small subunit ribosomal RNA", at positions 525 to 777 of the family's 1533-position model. The record is from RNAcentral.